GAUGAAGAACGUAGCGAAAUGCGAUACUUGGUGUGAAUUGCAGAAUCCCGUGAACCAUCGAGUCUUUGAACGCAAGUUGCACCCGAAGCCACUAGGCCGAGGGCACGCCUGCCUGGGCGUCACACGUCGUUGCCCCCCCAUCUACUCCUUCGGGAUUGCGGGGGGGCGGAUGAUGGCCUCCCGUGCGCCUAGCCGCGCGGUUGGCAUAAAUACCAAGUCCUCGGCGACGCACGCCACGACAAUCGGUGGUUGCGAAACCUCGGUUGCCCGUCGUGUGCGUUCGUCGCGCAUCGAGGGCUCGAAAAAAUGCUCGGCUCCGGCUGGGCUUUCAACGCGACCCCAGGUCAGGCGGGGUUACCCGCUGAAUUUAAGCAUAUCAAUAAGCGGAGGA
This 391-nucleotide unclassified non-coding RNA is filed under the name soil metagenome. RNAcentral describes it as "partial contains 5.8S ribosomal RNA, internal transcribed spacer 2, and large subunit ribosomal RNA". The stretch from base 1 to 122 matches the Rfam family "5.8S ribosomal RNA", at positions 35 to 154 of the family's 154-position model. The record is from RNAcentral.